Molecule: long non-coding RNA, 5587 nt
Organism: Bubalus bubalis (water buffalo)
Lineage: Eukaryota; Metazoa; Chordata; Mammalia; Artiodactyla; Bovidae
Exons: 3
Source: RefSeq, a predicted model, not a curated record
GGUCCAUGGGGUUGCAAAGGGUCAGACGUGACUGAGCAACUAACACUUUCCCCUUCUUUCCAGGAGGCUCUGGGGCAGGUAAGUAUCCUGAGAUGCAUGUCUUAAGCCAGUGCCCCUGCCUCUCCCUUCCCGGCCUCCAGGAAGCCUGGUUCAGAACCAUGGCCUGGCUGGUGCCAACCCUCAAGUUUCUAUUGCUGAAGGGAAAAAACCCUUCGGGCUUCCAAGCAGCUUUCAUCAGCCUCAGGCCUCUACUGUGAUCCUGGCCCAGGGAGGAAGAUGGCCUCAUUCAACCCUGCCCAGCCUCCCAGGGGGCCUGGGUGCAAGCAGAUGGUGGGUGUGGGCUGGACGAUGAGGCCAGCCCCCCACCCCACCCUCCCCUUACCCCCUCAUUAGUGCCGGAGGCCUCCGUGGUGCUCUGGGGCCAGAGAGCCACAGGGAGGCGGAUGAGGGCUUGCGGUAAAUGGGGGGUGGGUGUGACAGUGUGUGUGAGGGGAUUUUAUCUCUGUGCUUCGGGCCACCCUUCCAGCAGGGCUGGCCUCCUGCUUCCCCUCUCUGUUGCCUCCCCUCGAGCCGCCCAGGAUGGAGGUACUCAGACUGAGCUCGCCGAGGGCCAGGGAAACUGGAAACGACCACCGGGAGCUUUGGUAACAGCAUCGACACCUGGCCGUCCAGUCUCUGAGGCCUCCCAGGGUUGAGUUGAGGGGGCGGGAUUGUGGAAAUGGCCCUAAAUCAGAGGCUGAAGUGGCGAGGCAGCCCCCUGUCCGGUUUAGUUUCCUCAGCCAUCUAAUGUGAAAGUACACCAGGGGAUCUCGAACGUUCCUCAGCACUGACCGGCCUUGGGCCCGAGACAGUGGUUCUUUCUCACUGCAGUUUACAAUAUUCCCAGAGAGGUUUUUAAUGUCCUGUCGCCAGGCUACACCCUGAGCAGCUGCAUCCCCAUCUCAGGAGGUGGACCAGAGCAUCAGGGCUUUUUAAAGCUCCCAGAGAAGGGACGUCCCAGGUGGUCCAGUGGUUAGGACUCCAUGCUUCCACUACAGGGUCAUUGGUUCAAUCCCUGGUCAGGGAACUAAGAUCCCACAAGCCACGUGGUGCGACCAAAACCAAAAAUAAAUGCUCCCAGCGGGUUCUGCUGUGAGAUCAGGUUUGAGAACAGGCUGUCUCUGGGCCUUUGCUCAGUGAACCAGCCUGUGAUCAGGGCAUGGAGAGCAAGGAGGCCUUUCUAAAAAGCAAGCACAGCGAGGCUGGACCCUUCCUUCAUGCUGUGUUUAUAAUAUCGGGUUAGAGGAGGGGAGAGGGGAGUGGGACUGUGUGGUGUGAGUGCAUAGGCACGCUUGCACACACAUACACACGCACACACACACACCCUCAGAAUGGGCCCUGAUUACAUCUUCCCGAAUAAGUGGUUAUCACGCCGGUUAUUCAUGUAACCAUGCAUUAUUGAUCGGCCUUCGCCUCGGUGCACACCAGAUGGGGUAGGAGGCGGUGCGGAUGGGGCUGGGGUGGGUGAGGGUGGUGGGCGAUGAGCGGGGGAGGCUUGGGGGCAGCGGGCUGAAUAGAAAUCAACAGUCCUUUUUCGCAGCUGUGGCUCCCGACGGGAGGGGACCUCUCGUUACCUCCCCAUUCAGACCCGGCCCAGAGCUGGGGGGCCAGGCGGGGAGAAAGUCUCGAGCAGCCGGAGCCUGGAGCCUGGAGAUGCAUUAUUCAUCCACCGCCCCUCCUCCCAGGAUUGGUUAUUAUCCUGAGCCACUGUAGAGCUUGGUCUCCUAAUUUUUAAUCACAGGGAAGGUGGAAGCGUUAGCCUUUUGUGAUUAAUCCGGAGAUAAAAAUAGUUGACUGUUGUGGUGUUGAGCUUGUUGUCAGUCAGGAAAAACUCAUUAACUGUUGGGUGACUGAGGCCUGAGAGGACCUGAUGGAACUCAGGCCAAGCUGGUGCCCAGAGCUGGAAAUCAGCCCCGGGGGUCACACCGUGCCUGGGACGGGGGCUGGCUCCCGGGCGCUGCUUACGAAAUGGACACAUCGUAUGAAUUUCGCAGUCCUGGGCUGGCUCUUUGCCAUUUAUUCACCUGUCUUCCAGGAUUCUGGCAGGCGGCUGGGGGCCUUCCUCCUUCCUCUGCCCCUCUCUGGCCACCCGCCCUGUGGGUGGUACUGGUUGCAUCUCCCUGUGUGGGAGGGAGCCCCCGAGGACCUUCUCCCAGCUGUGCUGCCCAGGACAAGGGGGGACUUGAGCAGAGAGGCCAGAGGGCACAUGCAUGACUGGUUGCUCAGUCGUGUCCGACUCUGCGACCCCGUGGACUGUACCCCUCCGGGAUCCUCUGUCCAUGGGAUUCUCCAGGCAAGAAUACUAGAGUGGGUUUUCAUGCCUUCCUCCAGGGGAUCUUCCUGACCCAGGGAUGGAACCCACAUUUCUUGCAUCUCCUGCAUUGGCAGGCGGGUUCUUUACUACUAGCGACUCCUGGGAAGCCUGUCCUGCUCACUAAACACCGGAUUUAAAGAUAAUGUGUUGAUUCAGGUUUUUCUAUAACAUCGUAUGAAAAUCUCAAACGAACUUUCUGACCAGCGCGUAGACCCCCGCAUGAAUGUGUUACCUAGCAAGUUCCUUCGCACAGCAGUUCUUUAACUUGAGAUGCUGGAGUUCCUUCUUUUCCUGGAUCAGUCUUACUCAGCCCUUGCAAAUUUAGCUAAGGGGUUACUGAGUCCAUAGAGAAGAUCCCCUGGCGGGGGGGAUGGCAGACCCACUCCAGAAUUCUUGCCUGGAGAAUCCCAUGGACAGAGGAGGCUGGUGGGCUACAGUCCAUGGAGUUGCAGAGUCAGACAUGAAUGAGUAUGAUGCAUGGAGGGUCCAGUCCAUCUCUUUCUGCAUUUCCUGGUUGGACCAGGUGACUGUUGUCUAUGAUCCCAUAGCAUCCUGGAUAUCAUUCUCAGUAUCCCACCUCUUCUAUGGAAAUGAUCCAGAUGUGUUUGUCUCUCGCUAGACUGCAGCCUCCUUCAUCCUGGUCCUCGUCACCUGGCAGAGCACCUGCUGCUCCAGGGUGGUUUCAUGCACGUUUGCUGAGCAGAACCUGGCUCGAGGCCACUGCUUCAUAAGCGGUGCGAUGUGUGCACAGAGUUAUACAAGUUGACAACCUUCGCCCUCUUAUCUGGAAAGUGAGGCAAUCAAGAUACCUGCAGGUUGUUAUAGGAUUACUUUUAUGCUACAAAGAAUGAAGGUGUAGCUUGAUAGGGCUAGAUAAAUAUUGAGGAUCAGGUCCAGUUUUUGAAAACAAUAUUUAGUUUUGUUUCUGCAGAUGACACCGGGCCAAGGGCUCUCUUGUUUUAUUCUCGAAAUAAAACCAAGUAUCCUUCGGAACUGGAGAAGGGAAUGACAACCCACUUCCAGUAUUCUUGCCUGGGAAAUCCCAUGGACAUGGGGUCGCAAAGAGUCGGACACAACUGAACACACACACACACAUCAUUCUAAACAGCUGCUAUUCGGACUUCCACUUUAUAGAUUAGGAAACAGGGGCUCAGAGAGAGCAAAUGACUUUGCUAAAUAACACAGCAGGUAAAGGCUGGAAUUUAGAACCAAGUUUGUCUGACCCUAUGAUAUGUACACUCUACCAGCAUCAGAGCGGCACACAGACCUGCCCGUAAAACUGGAGUUCUGCUCAAACCUCCUGCCUGGGUCCUGGCUCUUUAUCUCAAUGCAUUCAGACCCCACAUUCCCGUCCCCCAGCCUGACUUCAGAGGGCUCGAUGGAGCACAGGCCUGGCUCCCGGUGUGUGCUGGAGAGACGUCCGCUAAGGGAGAGGAGGAAGGUUUCUGCCAUUCACAUCUCGCUUUGCUCACUUUUCCCAUUCUGCCCCGUUGUCAGGUUCUGGGCUUCUGCCCCGUUGUCAAGUUCUGGGCCCUGUGUGAUCCCCGCAUCCAGAGGCCUCGAGCACAUCGACGCGCCACCUGAUGGCCAGAGUGCGGAACCACAGACUGUAAAGACAGAUGCGCCGGUUUUUCAGAGUCAGCUUCUCAGGGCCAGCAGGCAUUCGAAAAAUCCACACUGAGUACCUACUGUGUACCUGGCCCUGUUUGAAGCAGCAGGGACGCAAAACUCCUGCCUAAGUGGAGUUUAUAUUCCAGUGGAAGAGUUAGACAGUAAAUGGAUAAAUACACAAUACAGUACGUCCCCUACGUAUGAACCUUCCAGUUUCGAACUUUCAAAGAUGUGAACGUGCAUCGGGAUCCAGCAAGGAACUGGAACCUGGGCCAUCGGGUGUGAUCACACUGCAGCCUGUCCUCCGUCUUCUGUUGCUGACGAUCCUUCAGCUCUACCAUCUCCCACCUCUUCUCCCUCCUCCAGCCAGUAACUCUUCUUGUCUGUUCACUCGAGGCCAGCCCCUGUGUGCUGGGGUGAUCUGCUACCCUGCCUGCUUGGCCCUCCCUCCUCUCCCGUCCCCUCAGACUCUGUGCCCACGAAAGUGAGGCCAUCACACUAGAAAGAUGCAAGGGCAUGUGUGUGCCCGCCUGACCCCGUGUGAUCAUCUCAACUGGGCAUGGCCAUAUCACUGACUCGUAGAAUCAUUACGUUUGCAAAGACUAACCGAUACGCUCAGCAGUAACCUACUGUCUGGGGAGUUCCUGAAAGACUGCCCAGAGCUCUGGGCUCCUGAAGUCACCCCAGCACUGGAUCCUCAGCAGCGAAUCUGUCUGCUCCACCCCAAUCCUUUCUACCUCCCUGAUGGACGGUGACUGGCUCCAUCUCUGCUUCUCAGUGUCCACUGCUUCCCGCUGCUCCAGGGUAAAACCCAGUUCCUCCUCAUAGAGCCCAGCCAAGGCUUUCUUCAGCUAGGCCUUCUCUCUUCAGCUUCCUCCCGUGCUUUCUCUGGACAGGUCCGUUCACCUGUCUGCAAGGAUACCCUGGCCUUUACAACUACAUGCUUGGUGAAGUUCCCUCUGCUGACAGUGUCUUCAUCCUGAGAUGUAACUGGCUGGGAUCCUGUCCUCUUUCCAGCCCAAAGGCCACCUUUGCCUGGGCCGGGUGCUGAUGACCCGCGUGAAGAGGAGUGCCUCGUCCCAGAGCUCAGUACCGCACAGGGACUCAGCCCCUGUUAGCUGCCCAUAGGAUCACUGUCUGCCCAGUAAGCCACUCCACGUGGACAGAGAGCAGCAGCUGACGUGAGGUCACUGCUUCAACCUCUUGUUCUGCUGCCUCUUUGUUCUGCACCCCAGCCUCGGCUCCCAAGACGGAGGUCAGCACCUCCCCGCAAAGCAACGACAGCACGGGGGGACGAGGAGAGCUGGCUGAAGCAGUGUGGAGAAGACGAGAAGACAGAGAAGUGAUGAAGACAGUUUGGUUUGGAACACAGGGCCAGACGGGCAGGACGAGAGGAUGAGAAGAGAUGAAGCCUGGUGAUGGGCAAGACACCCACUUGGGAAGCAAGAUAAAUGGGAGCAGAGAAAAAGAGAAAACACACUGUCCCUUGUCAUGGGGAAACCGUAAAGCCAAGUGGCAGCAUGCCAAGUGGGCAAAAAAGCACAAUGCUUUCUCUGGGCUUCUUGCCACCAAAAUUCAUUUCGGGGAAUCCCAGAAAACCACUAAACGUACCUUUCAACUUUA